GCGGGCGUGGUGGAAUUGGCAGACACACGAGAUUUAGGUUCUCGCGCCGCAAGGCAUGGGGGUUCAAGUCCCUCCGCCCGCACCA
This 85-nucleotide transfer RNA is filed under the name Alphaproteobacteria bacterium. Its description in RNAcentral is "tRNA-Leu". It matches the Rfam family "tRNA". Rfam says of the family: Transfer RNA (tRNA) molecules are approximately 80 nucleotides in length. The record is from RNAcentral. Lineage: Bacteria; Pseudomonadati; Pseudomonadota; Alphaproteobacteria.